This 5240-nucleotide long non-coding RNA is filed under the name Daucus carota (carrot). Its description in RNAcentral is "long non-coding RNA (DCAR_LNC002789)". Lineage: Eukaryota; Viridiplantae; Streptophyta; Magnoliopsida; Apiales; Apiaceae. The record is from RNAcentral.
AUACCAGCUAUACACCUGCCGGAGGCACCCCACCUAUCUACAUACUGGAUACCAGUUAUAGACAGGCCGAAAGUGUAAACACGUGAAGGAUGAACAAUCUUUGGUUGUGUAAGGUGAGCUCUUGCAAUAAUCACCACCAUCCCAAAUUCAAUACAGUCUUUACAGAUCACCAAAAAUAUCAAUAAACUCGUUCUCAACAGAUCCAACACGAAAUAAACCCAAUCAUAACUAAACAAAAACAUAACAAAACACUCUAAAAUGAGAGACAAAACACACACUCCAAGAGAAGAGACACACAAACACCCAAAAGAUUGGGUUUUAUUGAGAGGAAAUUAACGAGAGUAAAAGAUAAUGAAGGAGUUGGGGCUUUCCACCGGAGAAAAUCAGUUAAAGCCCAUCGAUUUACUUGAAAAUGGACAACCCUAAUAGAUGAGACAAGGGAGGCGGCUGCUGGACUUGAUGAGCUCGUGCAUUUUCGUGCCAUGUGUUUUCGUGUUUCGUGUAUUCGAAAGUGGAAUCCAUACCUUACCCGGUUUGGAUUUGUGUUGCUAAUCUAAAACCUAUAUCUGUUUCGAAACGUGUCGUGUACUUUUUGUGUACUUAUAAUAUAGAUAUAAUAACAAAAAAUAAUUAAAAUAUAAUUUAAAAAUACUUUUUUAUGUAUAAUUUUAGGAAAUAUAAAUUAAAUCUUUAUAUUUGUAUAUAGUUGUGUACAAAUUUGUACAUAAAUAUGUAUUUUAUAUAUGUAAAUAUAUAUAUAUAUUUACAUGAAAAUAUACUUAUUUAUUUAAAAAUAUUUUUAUAUCAUUUACAUUCGUGUAUAUAAAAUGAAAAUCCAUAUCAAACACUAAAUUUACCGUGUAUUUUCGUGGCCGUGUACCAAAAAUCAAAACUCAAACGUUAACUUUCUGUGUCGUGUAUCAAAUUGUCAAGUCUAGUACUUUGCUUUCUUUGUUCUCCUUUUUACCUAUGUAGCCUUUAUAACAUCUAAUUCCAUAAGUAUUUUAUAUUUUUAAAACAUUAAUAUAAAAUAUUGAAUUUUAAUAAUUUAAGAUAUUAAUAGAUAUUCACAUCUUCAACAAUAUUCCCUAUAUUAAUUUCUUAUAUAAUAUUUAUCAUUAAAAGAUAUCAUUAUCAUAAAAGUGAAGAGAGAAAGUGUGUGUUUUGAUAUAAAUAAUAAAAUAAGAGUUAGAGUAAUUUAAAUAGUUUAGCUAUUUGGAGUCUUAAACUGAAAUAUAGGAAAUGUGGGGAAAAAACUACUCGAACAAUAUUUUAGCGGAUCCUUAAUCACUAAGAUCUUCUUUUCAUUCAUUAUCAUUAACUAACAUCUCUCCUUAGAAGACUCUUAGGAGUACAAGGACUAUAUAUUGGUGAAGCUGUAUGAAACCUUGAAAACAUAUGAACUUGUGAUGGAGCAAGAUGAAGAAAUUGAAAAGGGCUAAAAGAAGAAAAAAAAAUUGUGACCUUGGUAGCAGUAAAUGAACUGAAAGCUGAAGAGGAAAAUGCAAAUGCAAAAGCGAAUGAAACAUUUGUCAAGGAUGUCAAAGAAGGAAGCUAUGAAACAAGCAAGGGAAAGAGCAAGAUGAUUGAAGAGAUUGAUUCAGGUGAUGAUGACAUGGAUGAAAUUGAUGAACAUAUGGCAUUUAUGUCAAGAAGGUUCUCAAAUUCAAGAAGAAUCCUGAUGCAGCUGAGUCAUUGUUUUGCACAGAGAGAGAAGAGAGCUUUGAGAAUUCGAAAGAGCAAGAUGAUUGAAGAGAUUGAUUCAGGUGAUGAUGACAUGGAUGAAAUUGAUGAACAUAUGGCAUUUAUGUCAAGAAGGUUCUCAAAUUCAAGAAGAAUCCUGAUGCAGCUGAGUCAUUCAUAAAGGAUUUCAAUACUGAUAAGAUGGUUGAUAGGUCCAGUUUAAAUGCUCAACUGUGGAGUAGCUGGACAUUUCUUGAAUGAAUGCAGAAAUUCUAAAGUUGAGUGGAAACAAUCUGAUAGUAUAUAUGGACUAUAAAAAGAAGUAUUUUGACCUUCUUAAACAAAAGGAAAGAACAUUCAUCACAAAGGAGGAGGACUGAGUUGAGGAUAAUUUUGAUGAUGGAAUUGGACAUGUCGAUCUUGCUCCUAUGACCAAAUCAGAUUAACAGGAAGAUAGUACAGCAAGCAGUCAGGUAUAUACUACAAACUUGACUGAUUUGACAAAAGAAGAAUGCAAUAGAACUAUUGAUGAGAUGUCUAUUGAACUAUAUCAUUUGCAUAUUACAUAACAAUCACUAACUAAGAAAAACUUUAGAAUUAAAGAUGUUAAUACCUUUUUCAGUGAUGAAAACAAUAUCUUAGAGUCUCAAUUCAUUAAAUUUUAAAGAAUGAAGGUAGAAUGUCAAACUAUAAAAGAUGAUCUUUCUUCGUGUCUUAAAAAGAGAAUUUUUUUUUUUAAAGAAACGGUUAGAGAAUGAAUAAGAGAUCAUAGCAAGGUUAAAAUAUGAUAAGAUGUUGCUACCAACAUUAUUCAGGUUCAGGGUUUGGAAAUCUUUGUUGAGAAUGCGUGAAAAAGAGACGAGAAGAAAAUUGAAGUUUUCCAUACUAGCUAGCUCAACAGAUGAAUCAACGGAUAAUGAUAAUUUGUUGAAAGCUGCACACUCAAUGGAUGGAAAUUACGCUUUGAAGAAUAAUCAUCAGUUGACAAGAAUACUCUUAACAAUCUCAAUAAGAAAUAUGGUUCCGUUGACAAAAUUUUUGUAAAGAAAGAUUGCAGCAAUCUUAAGAUUGUUGAAAGAACAAACAUAGGUGAUUCUGUUUGAAAAGAAAUUGAAGUAGAGACUUGAACAGAUUGAUGUUAAGGCUGAGGAUAAGAGAAAAAAACAACAAAAUUAAAAAGGUAGACAUUAACAUCAGAUUUCUAUGCUCCUAGAAAAAUAUGUGGUAGAUGUGGUGUGUUAAUCAUCUCUCUCAAUUGCAAAACUAUCCAAAUGCCAUCUUUUUCUAUUAUUAUGCAUAUGCUUAUUAUGCCUAUAUGUGGUUUGAAUGUGAUGCCAAAUAUAUUUGCUCAAACUUCGUAUCAGCAUGCUAAUGCACCAUUUAGUUUCAAUUCAUAUUUGAAUGUAUUUAACAGUUCUUCAAAGAAAGCUGAAAGCAGUUUUUUUCAAAAAGUAUGGAGAACAUAUUUUCCUUAAAAAUAACUUUUUAAGGUAAAAAUUAUUAUUCGGAAAAAAUUAUUAUUAACAGACAAUUUUUUAGCAUAAAGUUAUUAUUACUGUUUGCUAACACAGUAACCAUCGGAACCUUAUCUACUCUCUUCGUUCCCCUGAGUAGUAUAUAGUGGUACAGAGACGCGACACAUACUUUAAUAUUCUUGUAGAGUAUAGUUCUGCAAUUUAUUUUUAAAAUCUUUUUAUGAAAUAUAAAUUUACAUGUUAGAUUUUUAUUCAAUUUUUUUAAAAAAUAAAUUAGAAAAUUAGAAAAAGAGUAUGAACUCUUUUUUUUUUAUCAAAAGAGUAUGAACUCUUCUUCUUUUCUUUUUUUCCCGUCGUUUACAGAGGAGUACUAUGAAUUGAAAGUCCGUUAUCGACUAUUCUAGAAUUCUAGUAUACAAGUUGGACCACUAAAAGUGCCCCACUUGCAAGGGACCCACUAUUUGACGUACAGGCUUUAUUUUAUGCGAAAUUUCGACCUUGCGUUAAGUCCAAACACCAAAACAAUUCGAAUCAAACUUUUGCUUUUAAUUACUCAAUAUACACGAAAGAACUUUUGAAAACGCUUUUCAACAAUAUCAAUCCUGCUGUAAAUACCAUCAUAAUUAGUGUUGGCUACACGUAUCUUUGAUUAGUUGUUAAUAUUGCAUAAUGAAUAUCACAAAGAUUCAUAUUAUUUUUAGAUUGUAUAUAUUGUUAAACAAAUCAAACACUGUUAUUAUUAAUAUUAAAAACUUAGUUAGUUUAAAAUUAUAAUUUAAAUCAAAAUUUAAAUAAUAUUGUAUAUUCAAUUGUGUAAUGUGCUACUUUAUUCUUUAUCAAUGUUCCUUUUUGCGCGUUGAUUUAUUAUUGUUUAUAUAUAUAACAUAUUUUUGAAUUAUUAAUUUAUUUAUUUUGGAAAUAAAAAGUAUUUGAGUAUCAUAUUUAAGUAAUACUAAUUACAGACUAGUAAAAUAAUUAAAUGAUAGUGAUAAUUAUAAUGAAUUUUUUUAAUAUAACAUGUAUCUAUAAAUCAAAACUUAAUAUUUUUUUUAAGUUAUUCUAUUUUAGAAAUAUAUAUGUAAGAUAUGAAAUUAUUUCUUAAUUUAUAUGAACUCAUAAUAAAAUUUAUUUAUUUAAAAUUAAAAUAAUUAUAUAUAUAUAUAUGAAUUAAUUGAUUCAAACAAAUGUGAAUUGGUAAAAUACAAUCCGGUCUAAAUGUACAUAAAUUUCAAGGUGUGUCUGAAGUUUACACCGAUUUGCAAGUUUGUGGCCAAACUUUAAAAAUUACAAAAGUGUGGCCGGAGUUCGCAUCCGCCUUUUAAAAUUUUGGUUGCCGUUAAGUCCAUUAGAUUUUAACUGUUAACUCACUUAGAAAUUAAAAAAAUAAGGAGGCAGAUACGUAAAAAAAUAUAAUCCCUCCAUCCCUUUGGGAUGUACAUUUGGAAUGGGCAGACAGACUAAGGAAAAUGUAUAAAGUAGUGUAAAGAAAUGAGAAAGGGAAAGAAAAGUAGGUAAAGAAGUGGGACUCAUGAGUAUUUAAUUGAUAGAUUUGAAAAAGUAGAUGAAAGUAGUGGGUGAAUGUAAUUUUUAUAUUAUAAAAUUUUACUAUUUUGGGAAAAUUUUGAAAUAUAUAGAAAUGAAAAAGGAAUGUGUAUAAAAAUCAGAGGGACGAAGGAAGUAUAGAUAAAAUUGUUUGGGGUAAAGCGGGAAGAAACAGAGGGGGCUAGGGUUCCUUAAUCUUUCCAUCUCCCUUUUAGAAGAUAAGACAUGCUAACUAACUGCCAUGUGAUUAAAAUUGCAACCAGAAGAACUAUGCCCGAAUUACAAGCAAAAUUUCGAUGUAGUGACUCGCCCAAAACAAACUCAACCUACAAACUCAACCUACUGUUACUCAGUUGAAAACAAAAUAGCUAUGCGACUCGACUGUACAUUAACGCAAAAAAGAAAGCCACUACUGGCUAGAAAAGUGAAUCAGUGAACUCAGAAAAAAAAUCACAAUAAACAAACCACUCACCCAAUUUAAAAAGAAGUGUGAACGCGGUGAGGACGAUCAUAGAACCACCGCAUAAAAGGGGUCCCCAU